UCCUGGCUCAGAUUGAACGCUGGCGGCAUGCCUUACACAUGCAAGUCGAACGGCAGCACGGGGGCAACCCUGGUGGCGAGUGGCGAACGGGUGAGUAAUACAUCGGAACGUGUCCUGUAGUGGGGGAUAGCCCGGCGAAAGCCGGAUUAAUACCGCAUACGCUCUACGGAGGAAAGGGGGGGAUCUUAGGACCUCCCGCUACAGGGGCGGCCGAUGGCAGAUUAGCUAGUUGGUGGGGUAAAGGCCUACCAAGGCGACGAUCUGUAGCUGGUCUGAGAGGACGACCAGCCACACUGGGACUGAGACACGGCCCAGACUCCUACGGGAGGCAGCAGUGGGGAAUUUUGGACAAUGGGGGCAACCCUGAUCCAGCAAUGCCGCGUGUGUGAAGAAGGCCUUCGGGUUGUAAAGCACUUUUGUCCGGAAAGAAAUCCCUUGCCCUAAUACGGCGGGGGGAUGACGGUACCGGAAGAAUAAGCACCGGCUAACUACGUGCCAGCAGCCGCGGUAAUACGUAGGGUGCAAGCGUUAAUCGGAAUUACUGGGCGUAAAGCGUGCGCAGGCGGUCCGCUAAGACAGAUGUGAAAUCCCCGGGCUUAACCUGGGAACUGCAUUUGUGACUGGCGGGGCUAGAGUAUGGCAGAAGGGGGUAGAAUUCCACGUGUAGCAGUGAAAAUGCGUAGAGAUGUGGAGGAAUACCGAUGGCGAAGGCAGCCCCCUGGGCCAAUACUGACGCUCAUGCACGAAAGCGUGGGGAGCAAACAGGAUUAGAUACCCUGGUAGUCCACGCCCUAAACGAUGUCAACUAGUUGUCGGGUCUUCAUUGACUUGGUAAGAUUCAUUUCUUCAGUAACGUAGCUAACGCGUGAAGUUGACCGCCUGGGGAGUACGGUCGCAAGAUUAAAACUCAAAGGAAUUGACGGGGACCCGCACAAGCGGUGGAUGAUGUGGAUUAAUUCGAUGCAACGCGAAAAACCUUACCUACCCUUGACAUGCCACUAACGA
This 1005-nucleotide ribosomal RNA is filed under the name Burkholderia sp. SE8. RNAcentral describes it as "bacterial SSU rRNA". It matches the Rfam family "Bacterial small subunit ribosomal RNA", at positions 17 to 998 of the family's 1533-position model. Lineage: Bacteria; Pseudomonadati; Pseudomonadota; Betaproteobacteria; Burkholderiales; Burkholderiaceae. The record is from RNAcentral.